GGGGUAGGGGUGGGGGUGGGGGGCGGGGCUUGUUGGCCUCUGCAGGCUCAGGGAGGCAGGUGGCCCCGUCUAGUCGGCCAUCCACCCUGCAAAACCGCGGCUCGGGAGGCCCAACCGGGCGAGCUGGACGCGCUCGCAGCACUGGGGACCGUGAGCUCCCGGCCGCAGGGUCGGUGUGAAUCACCCCAGAGCUCUUAGAAACACCGACAGCCAGGUUGCCCAGUUCUGGGGAAGUGAGGGGGGAUUUCUAGGACUGGGGCCCGACGGAAGGUAUUUUUUGAGCGUUCACCAGGCAAUUAUGUGUAGUCGGCGUUGAGAAUCGCCACUGCCUACUCAUGGAUGGCACUGUCGGGCUGGUUUGAGUGAAGUCAGGUGCGUAAAGUUUCCUGCACACAGUAGGUCUUAAAAACGUUUGAGCUCGUCUACCCUGGCCCCGCCUUCUCGCCAGGAGUAAUCAGUCCUACAAUAGCUGUAUUGAUAGACAUUGGAGAGCUCAUCCUGUAGAAGCAGUGAUGCAAGAAAGCUUCGGGUUUUUUUUUUUUUAAUUAUCCCGUGGAACACUUGUUAUUCAGAAUUUAAAACAUUAUAGAUAAAAGAACAUUUCUCAGUGAAGUCUAAUACUGUUCAAAUUCAUUUUUACCUGAAAGAUACACAGUUAACACCACAGAUAGCUGGAAUUUUCUUGUCUUCCAUACAUUAAGGAGUUCUCAGGUCAGGCCUAGGAGGAUGAUGGUGAUGGUUUCUCCAAAUAAUGAAAUUCCCACUAUGGGAACCAAGAGUACAAGUGAUAUAGAGUAGGAGCUCCAAGCUGAAAGGGUGUGUUGUUCCCUUAGGUACAGAAGGAGAGGUUUCUGCAGAGCUCGAGUCGGCCAGCUAGUAGCCACUAGCCACCUGAAGUGUGGGUAGGCCAGAUUGAGAUCUGCUCUAAGUGUAAAAUGCACACUGGAUUACUAAAAUAAGAGGCCAAGGAACUGAGGGCAGCUUCCAGCCAACAGCCAGAAAGGAACCAAGACCCUCAGUCCAGUAGCUUGUUAGGAACUGAGUCCUACCAAGGACCAGAACAUGAACUUAGAAGUGGACGCUUCUCUAGUUGAGCCUUGAGAUGCCUUCAGCCCCAGUGAACACCUUGACUGCAGCCUUCUGAGAGAUCCUGAGCCAGAGGACACUGUUAAACCUCACCCAGAUUCCUGAUCCAUAGAAUUAUGAGGUAAGGAGUCUCAGACCAAGGGAGAAGACAUGAUUUGCCCAAGAUUGCCCAACUAGUUGGAAUUAGAAACCAGCUCUUUGGAUCCAAGUCUGGAGUAUUAGUGAUGACUCUCUGAAUGGAAAAGAAAAACGUACUUCUGGUUAAUUAAAUGCAUAUCUAAACUUUAAAUAAAAACCAUUUCCUACACUGGGCUUCAAGAUGGGGGAGUAGUAAGACGUGGAGAUCACCUUCCUCCCCACAAAUACGUCAGAAAUACAUCUACAUGUGGAACAACUCCUACAGAACACCUACUGAAUGCUGGCAGAAGACC
This is a long non-coding RNA of Aethalodelphis obliquidens (Pacific white-sided dolphin), 1517 nucleotides long. RefSeq lists it as uncharacterized. NCBI's taxonomy places the organism in Eukaryota, Metazoa, Chordata, Mammalia, Artiodactyla, Delphinidae. The transcript has 4 exons. The record is from RefSeq and is a predicted model, not a curated record.